AUUUGGUCUGACAGCCAUCACAUGAAUCACACACACAGAUCUGGAGAAGAAAGCGGCCAGAAAUGGGGCUUCUGAUGUUGGUGCUGCUGCCCAGCCCUAACCUGUGCUCGUCGUGUCUCAGUUACAGAUGGGGUGGAAAAUCUGAGCUGGUCUGGCCCGAAGCCUAUCCCGGAUCUGGAUUCUCCUUCUCUCUCAGACAGCACGUGAAGUUCUGCUCUGCUUUGCGGUACAGAAAAAUGAGAUACCCCACUUCUGAUUGCUGGAGCUGGGGUGGAGCUGAUGCAUAAAGCAAAGCAGCAUGCAUAGAAGCAGGCCAGAAAGGGAAAGAGAUCAGUGAGAAACUCCUUCUAGGGAAUCAGGAAAAGACAACAGCAGAGGGUAGCGAAUUGGUUUUGCCCAGAAGCAUUUCAGUCCUAAAGCAAAUCCAGAAACCGCUAAAACAAGGUCUGUAUCUGUCUCUCCCUAAAAGGGCUGAAAGAGAAACUCUUACUACAUACAGCUGAGGCUCAGCAACUUGGCUUAGGCAGUAGCUUCUGACCUGAGCAGCACGAAGAGAAUAAACAACACUCAAAAACUGGAAGGAUCAACCUGUCAGUGUGCUAUGGCUGGGUGCACCAGCAAAUCACGACGUGCUCUUCAGUUGCUGCGACAAGAUCUCUUCUGCUGACUGACACCUAGAUCCUUGGAGAAAGAGAAAUGAUCCAGUGAGAGCAGUGCUUCGUGAAGUGCACGGUGACUUAAGACCCACUCCUGCCAGAGGAGCUUGAGGCAGAAAGACAAGAAAGAGGAGAGAUGAAAGAGGCAGAGAUGCUCUUUUUAUUCUCCCCCCUCUCUGUCACUGCAAGAUGGAAGCUGCUGCCCAACAGGAAGAUACAGAAACAUCAGAACAACGAGCCCCUGCAGCCUGAUAGCUUGGAGCUCUGGUGUAAAGGAGGUUCUGCUUUACACCUCUUCAGACCGAGAGAAGCAGAGCUGCACUCAGUAUCAGCGGGUUUUUCCACUACCGCUCUAAAAUCUUCUGGAGUGCUAAAAGCAUUCUUCAUUGCUAUUGCACUGAGAUCUCUGAAUGCCUCUAGGCAGAGAAGAAUCUACGUCUGAUGAUUUGGAGCUCAGAAAGGAGGUGCUCCAGCCUUCAUAAGGUCUUCAGCCUCACCCCGUGGACAUCCAGG
Molecule: long non-coding RNA, 1169 nt
Organism: Gallus gallus (chicken)
Lineage: Eukaryota; Metazoa; Chordata; Aves; Galliformes; Phasianidae
Source: Ensembl